UCCGUGGUGACGCGGAAUCUGAAGGAAGCGAGCGGCAAACUUUCGGUCUGAGGAACACGAACUUCAUACAAGGCUAGGUAUCAUUGGAUGAGUUUGCUAAACAAAACAAAGUCCUUUCUGCCGAAGGUGAUACAGAGUAAAUGAAGCAGAUAGAUGGAAGGAAAGAUUGCACUC
Molecule: non-coding RNA, 174 nt
Organism: Anoxybacillus flavithermus
Lineage: Bacteria; Bacillati; Bacillota; Bacilli; Caryophanales; Anoxybacillaceae
Source: Rfam